Non-coding RNA from Osmia lignaria (orchard mason bee), 497 nucleotides. The record is from RefSeq and is a predicted model, not a curated record. Lineage: Eukaryota; Metazoa; Arthropoda; Insecta; Hymenoptera; Megachilidae.
UCAGGGCGAAGAUGCGCACUGGAGAUGCGCGAAGAACGAAAACGGGUCUUUUCGCAGUUAUGGACUCUGGUGAACUGCGGUAUAUAUUAUUAACGCUGCGCAAUAAAGUACAGUCAGGUGCAACGGAGGUCUCUUUUCGUUAUGAGGAAAACUGCGGGGAGGGGGCUCCUAUCAUUCAUCAAGGAGAGCCAAGAAGAGCUUUGACAAAGAAAAAAUCACGCGGAAGAGUAUGGGAGCGAGAGGGGGUACAACCAAUCAAAUUGCGUUAUUCUCACGGGACUUGUGUUGAUCGGUGCACAGUACGUUGCACGAAGCUGUACUGACUGGCACCAUUUUGUUAUUAGUUUCAAAGUUUAAAUUACCGCCAGCUUAAAGGAACACGAGGUACACUGGAAAAUGAGCAUGGAUUUAUAUUCGAGUGAGUAAUUACAAUGAACUGCAUUGCCGUUUUCAUUGCCGAAAAUGCCGUUUUCUACAAUUGCAUACAACAAAGGUAA